GACGAACGCUGGCGGCGUGCCUAAUACAUGCAAGUUGAGCGCUGAAGGUUGGUACUUGUACCUACUGGAUGAGCAGCGAACGGGUGAGUAACGCGUGGGGAAUCUGCCUUUGAGCGGGGGACAACAUUUGGAAACGAAUGCUAAUACCGCAUAAAAACUUUAAACACAAGUUUUAAGUUUGAAAGAUGCAAUUGCAUCACUCAAAGAUGAUCCCGCGUUGUAUUAGCUAGUUGGUGAGGUAAAGGCUCACCAAGGCGAUGAUACAUAGCCGACCUGAGAGGGUGAUCGGCCACAUUGGGACUGAGACACGGCCCAAACCCCUACGGGAGGCAGCAGUAGGGAAUCUUCGGCAAUGGACGAAAGUCUGACCGAGCAACGCCGCGUGAGGGAAGAAGGUUUUCGGAUCGUAAAACUCUGUUGGUAGAGAAGAACGUUGGUGAGAGUGGAAAGCUCAUCAAGUGACGGUAACUACCCAGAAAGGGACGGCUAACUACGUG
This 497-nucleotide ribosomal RNA is filed under the name uncultured bacterium. RNAcentral describes it as "partial 16S ribosomal RNA". It matches the Rfam family "Bacterial small subunit ribosomal RNA", at positions 28 to 507 of the family's 1533-position model. The record is from RNAcentral.